AGAGUUUGAUCCUGGCUCAGGACGAACGCUGGCGGCGUGCUUAACACAUGCAAGUCGAGCGGUAAGGCCCCUUCGGGGGUACACGAGCGGCGAACGGGUGAGUAACACGUGAGCAACCUGCCCCUGACUCUGGGAUAAGCCGUGGAAACGCGGUCUAAUACCGGAUACGACGCCUCACCGCAUGGUGGGGUGUGGAAAGUUGUGUCGGUUGGGGAUGGGCUCGCGGCCUAUCAGCUUGUUGGUGGGGUGAUGGCCUACCAAGGCGAUUACGGGUAGCCGGCCUGAGAGGGCGACCGGCCACACUGGGACUGAGACACGGCCCAGACUCCUGCGGGAGGCAGCAGUGGGGAAUAUUGCGCAAUGGGCGGAAGCCUGACGCAGCGACGCCGCGUGGGGGAUGACGGCCUUCGGGUUGUAAACCUCUUUUACCACUCACGCAGGCCCCGGGUGUUCUCGGGGUUGACGGUAGGUGGGGAAUAAGGACCGGCUAACUACGUGCCAGCAGCCGCGGUAAUACGUAGGGUCCGAGCGUUGUCCGGAAUUAUUGGGCGUAAAGAGCUCGCAGGCGGUGUGUCGCGUCUGCUGUGAAAGGCUGGGGCUUAACCCUGGUUUUGCAGUGGAUACGGGCAUGCUAGAAGUAGGUAGGGGAGACUGGAAUCUUGUGUAGCGGGGAAUGCGCAAAAAUACAAGAACACCGUGGGGAAGGGGGCUCUGGGCUACUGACCUGAGAACGAACGUGGGAGGACAGAUAAUACCUGUAUCACCCUAACUGGCCUAG
RNAcentral lists this ribosomal RNA (778 nucleotides) under uncultured Nocardiopsis sp. RNAcentral's name for it is "bacterial SSU rRNA". It matches the Rfam family "Bacterial small subunit ribosomal RNA", at positions 8 to 814 of the family's 1533-position model. The record is from RNAcentral. Lineage: Bacteria; Bacillati; Actinomycetota; Actinomycetes; Streptosporangiales; Nocardiopsidaceae.